UUUUUUUUCUUUUCCUUUUUUUUUUUUUUUUUGAGAUGGAGCCUUGCUCUGUCACCCAGGCUGGAGUGCAGUGGCACGAUCUCAGCUCACUGCCAACCUCUGCCUCCCAAGUUCAAGCAAUUCUUCUGCUUCAGCCUCCCGAGUAGCUGGGAUUACAGGCACCCGCCACCACGUCCAGCUAAUUUUUGUAUUUUUAGUAGAGACAGGGUUUCACCAUGUUGUCCAGGGUGGUCUCAAACUCCUGACCUCAGGUGAUCCGCCCGCCUCGGCCUCCCAAAGUGCUGGCAUUACAGGCGUGAGCUACUGCGCCCAGCCCCCUUGUACAUUUAAGUGAUUAGGAAAUAUUCAGGGUAAAAUUAUGAUUUUGUGAGCAAUAAAUCACAAUCCUAUUUUAAUACCACUAAAAUCUUGAUCAAAGCAAGUUCACAGGACUUGGUUACUCAUGCCCAUAAUCCCAGCAAUCUGGGAGGCUGAGACAGAAAGAUCACUUGAGCCCAGGAGUUUGAGACCAGAGUGGACAAUAUGGUGAGACCUCAUCUCUACAAAACAUUUUUUAAAAAUUAGCUGGGUGUGAUGGUGCAUGCCUAUAAUCCCAUCUACUUGGGAGGCUGAGGUGGGAGCAUGGCUUGAGACCAGGAGGUCGAGGCUGCAGUGAGCUGUGAUCAAGCUGUGACGGUGCCAUUGCACUCUAGCUGGGGCAACAUAGCAAGACCCUGUCUCAAAAGAAAAAAAAAAAAGAAAGUUUCUUUUUCAGCUCAGAAUACGAGAGCCAACGUGAAGAAACACACUUGUUUUGACGACGCUUACUCUCCCAAGUGUGGAUCUGUGAGCAUUAUUCCUUGUUUUUUUUUUUGGAGACAGGGUCUCAUCCUGUGGCUCAGGCUGGAGUGCAGUGGCUCAGUCUCAGCUCACUGUAACCUCCGCCUCUCAGGCACAAGCCAUUCUCCCAUCUCAGUCUCCAGAGUAGCUGGGACCACAGGCACAGCGCCACCACACCCGGCUAAUCUUUGGUAUUUUUGGUAGAGACAGGGUUUUUCCAUGUUGCUCAAGCUGGUCUCUAAUUCCUGACCUGAAGUGAUCCAACUGCUUCCGCCUCUCAAAGUGCUGGGAUUACAGGCCUGAGCCACCGCACCUAGCCCAUUGUUCACGUUUGUGACCCCUUUUAAUUUUUAUUUAUUGCUUUAUCAUCUUACUGAUUCCUCGAAACAAUCUUACGGGGCGAGCCGGUUCCAUGGGCGCUGAAGAAACAUUUCCUCUUUCAAAGCCUCAAUUUUUUGAACGAUACGCAUUGCUAAAGAGGAAGCAAUCAAACCUAUCAGGCGAGCUCUGCCCUCCGCCCAGCGAGCUGCUGCUUCCUGGUGUUAAAACGCUUUCGGGUCCUCCUGGCGAGUUUUAAGUCACACUGGAUCGCUGCUCAUUUUCGGAGGGCACCUCGCACCCAUUCACCUGGAAGGCACCCAAGGGGAAUCGAUUUAGGAAAUUCACUUCAUGUCACCCUAACAACAAAGCACAGCCUGCAGCUUUCACCCACGUGACAUAAAUGCUAAUCCUAUGUGCGAAACAUUUGGGUUCAUUCGAUUUUUAAAAAAUUAGUAACAGAGAUGGGGUCUCGCCAUGUUGUCCAGGCUGCUCUCCACCGCCUGGGCUCAAGCCGUUCUCCCGCCUCGGCCUCCCUCGGCGCUGAGAUUACAGGCGGGAGCCACCGCGUCAGCCUCCUCUCGUUUUUUCGGCGACAAAGCCAGCCCGCCUGCGGGGCGUUCCGUUCGGAGAAACUCUGUGAGGGACGCCGCGGGGGCUCCCAGGGGACGCGGCGAAAUCAAAACAGUCACCGGUGGUUCACAAAACCACCUCAGGAAAUGCUUCCAAAGGCAGGUCUGGCCUUCACAAGGCGACGGCUCUUCAGCCUCCGACACGAACCUGAGUCGUCCACAGCACUGAGCCGCAGCCAGCCCGGGCAAGCCGCCGAGCGACCGCGGACGCCGUAGCGAGCAGCCGCCUGCUCCCGCCACACCCGCCGAGCCAGCCGCGCGG
This is a long non-coding RNA of Macaca fascicularis (crab-eating macaque), 2031 nucleotides long. The record is from Ensembl. NCBI's taxonomy places the organism in Eukaryota, Metazoa, Chordata, Mammalia, Primates, Cercopithecidae.